This is an RNA transcript of Pygocentrus nattereri (red-bellied piranha), 2150 nucleotides long. It is a transcript of the gene named paired immunoglobulin-like type 2 receptor alpha, with no coding region annotated. The record is from RefSeq and is a predicted model, not a curated record. Lineage: Eukaryota; Metazoa; Chordata; Actinopteri; Characiformes; Serrasalmidae. The transcript has 9 exons.
UAAGACAGCGCCUGCGUCUGUGGUUGAUGCUCAUUUAUUGAAACGAAGUCCUGACUUUCUGCAAAUAGAGCUUCUGUCCUGAUCUUGUAGUUUACACCUGAAGUCUAUGUGUUCUAGCAAUGUCUUUAAUCUGUGCUGGUAGGGGCUCGAUGUAUUAAGAAUUUCCUGCAGUUCUACAGGAAACUCAGCACUGGAGGGACGUGAGCACUCGAGGAGAGAGAGAACCUUUUUUCACUCGGUGUUUUUUUUGACAGCCAUUUCUACUUCUGCUUGAGUCAUGGUUUCACUGCAGUGAACACUUUGACUCCAGUAUGUGUUUGAAGCUCCUCUGUCCACUGCUGUCAAACACACCCGUCAUUAGUGAGUGAAAUGGAAGUCAUGGUUUGGCUGUGUUUCACUCAUCUGCUCUGGUUUCUUGGUCAAAGCCACGGACAAACUCAGUUCAUUUAUAGAGCAACAAAUAAAGUAGAGUUGAGAUGUGAAACAACCAAAUGGCAAAUAAGCACAAAGUCUGACAGCCGGAUUGACUUCAACUGCACACAGUGUGACCACAUCAGCACUGAGCUCACAGAAGAUGAUAAGAAACUGGACUUCUGCACAAAUAACCAUUCAGAGUCAAAGCCUGGCUGCACUCUAGCAGUAAAGAGUGGCUUUGUUGCCUGUGUUAAAUCUCUGGAUCCUGGAUUCUUAUAUCCAUUUAAACCGUCACCCAACAUCGUCCGUUCAUACAUAGUUGCUGUUCCAAACCCACACAUUUGUUACUGGUCAGAUCUGUGUGCACCACCUGAGACGAAGUGUAACCCUAUAACAAACCAACAGAAUCCAGACGUGUGCGGAUAAAACCAAUAAGACUGGAUUUAUUAUCACGGGAAGUAAGAACCCGAACCAGAAGUAACAUCCACACCUGAGGAAACAUCUUCACUGACAGUACCUGAAGGUGGAUCAGUGAGUUUAAACUGUAGUUUCACCUUCACACAAGAAUAUAAUGGGGUGUCUUUUGUUGUUUACUGGAUUAAGACUGUUGGAGAGAGCAGCACCUGUGUGUAUUCUUAUGAUUAUAACCCGUAUGAGCUGCUCGGGCUCGGUCACCACUGCACCAUACAGGAAGAUCUGCUUAACAGACUCUCAAACCAAACCGAAGGACAGAACAGUCACAACAUCAGGAUCAGUGAAGUGAUGGAGUCAGACAGCGGUCAGUACCUCUGUGCUGUACAAGUGCACCCAAGUAAUAAAAACACUGCUGAAGGAAACUGGAAGGUGAUAAAAAGCAUUACAGUCAGUGUCCACAAAGGGAAGAGACCACAGCCAACCAGGACCACCGUGACUCAGACAACUACUGAGAAAACAACAAAGAAAACUACUGAGGAAACAACAAAGAAAGCUACUGAGAACGGUAGUGAUGAUGAUCAUCUUAAGCCCUUAUAUGUUGCACUUCCCAUAAUACUGUGUCUUCUGCUGAUUGUCUUGGUCGUGUUUAUAAGAAAGAAGUGCAUCACAUCACAAGGACGUCAGACUGGUCAACAAAGAGAAGAAGCUCCUGACAUGGACUGUUCUCCAUAUGCUGUUGGAAAUGGUGAGGAGGGGAGUUCCUUUGGAUCUAAGACGGCUGAUCCAGGCCGUGAAGAAUCCACACCGCCUACUGACCCUCAUUCAGUCGUUAGAAUGAACAGCUUGUAUGAAUCUUUGGCUUCAGAUCACAACAAACAUAUUUAAUACAAAGCUGCUGAUCUGUGGGUGUUAAAGGCGCCUCAGGGCAGCAGCUCACACGCUGAAAGACUGUAGAGAAGGAUGCAGAGUAACGAAGUGGACAAGCUUGUUAAAUAAUACUUUUAGCUGAUUCUCAUAGAUCACCAGUCAUAUGCAAAUGUUUGAGCACACCUGGUCAGAUUACCUGCAUUAUUGAUUUUCUAACUAAACUAAGUUACCACAUCAUCCUCUAGAGGGAACACUUUAAUAUGAGUUCACUUAUUUUCACUUCAAUCACCAAAACAUGCCAUUUGACCAGGAGUGCACAAACCCUUACAUACAACUAUAUGUGUAUAACUAUAUGCAAUGCUUUUGUUUCAAAGGAGACACAUUAUUGCUGUUUUUAAGUGUAUUUACAGAUCUUUGUGCUCUUUCAUGUCUAAAAUAAAUAACUUCUUAAUCAA